AUACAAUCAGUCAAUGAACUCAUCUUAUUGAAAAAAGUGACCCAAUGGAAGCAUUAUUGUUCAAAGCUCUGAAUCCCCCAUGGGUGGGAGAAAGAACCUUCUUGGCAGAGUCUCCCCUCAGCACAGCCACCACCACCUCCAGCUCUGCAGAAAGUUCUCAGAGAUGGCUACUUGGCAAGAUGAGGACAGGAAAGAGAACAGAGGAAGUGAGAUGGGGAAGCUGGGCUCUGGGAUGUUACCAGAUUAAUGAGCUGAUGCGUGCAAAAUGUUGAGAGCAGCACAUGGUAAACACCCUGGUCAUCAGGAGACGGGAUUGAGGAACUCACCUAGCGAAGGGAUUAUAGGAGCAGAAUCCGUGUGAAUCACAUCCACAAAC
This is a non-coding RNA of Microcebus murinus (gray mouse lemur), 376 nucleotides long. NCBI's taxonomy places the organism in Eukaryota, Metazoa, Chordata, Mammalia, Primates, Cheirogaleidae. The record is from RefSeq and is a predicted model, not a curated record.